AAUAACUCAGUUUAAAGCCAAUAGUGUAUGGCUUAUGUUCCAGAUACAAGAACAUCAAAAAGAGCUUGACAUAGCAUAUUUAGAUGUCACAAAACAAUCAUCAAAACUAUUAAUGAACUAUCUACUGGUUCCAAGGGAAGGUAUGGCUAAUCCUGAGAUUAUGGAGGCUUUGGUCCUGCGUGAAACAGUGCUUCUAGUCUGUGCAGAAAAACUAAACCGGGUAUGCUUUGGAGAUGCUAAUGCUAGGUAUGCAGGAUAUAGAGAAUUCCAGAAAGAAACCACAACGCUCUGUCGGAACUUUCUAUCCUGUGAGUCUCUUUUGCUAGAUUCUCCUUUCAAUUUCCAGAAAACCCUUGCAGGUAUAGAGUUUUGCUCCAGCUGGAACAUCCUUAUCGGUUAGUUCCACAAAGUGUCCGCAAGAUGUAAAGGGCUAAAAAAAAGAAAAAAAAAAAAAA
RNAcentral lists this unclassified non-coding RNA (455 nucleotides) under Hevea brasiliensis (rubber tree). The record is from RNAcentral. Lineage: Eukaryota; Viridiplantae; Streptophyta; Magnoliopsida; Malpighiales; Euphorbiaceae.